Molecule: ribosomal RNA, 431 nt
Filed under: uncultured bacterium
Lineage: Bacteria
Description: partial 16S ribosomal RNA
Rfam family: Bacterial small subunit ribosomal RNA
Source: RNAcentral
AACGAACGCUGGCGGCAGGCUUAACACAUGCAAGUCGAGCGCCCCGCAAGGGGAGCGGCAGACGGGUGAGUAACGCGUGGGAACGUACCUUUUGGUUCGGAACAACUCCGGGAAACUGGAGCUAAUACCGGAUAAGCCCUAACGGGGAAAGAUUUAUCGCCGAAAGAUCGGCCCGCGUCUGAUUAGCUAGUUGGUGAGGUAACGGCUCACCAAGGCGACGACCAGUAGCUGGUCUGAGAGGAUGAUCAGCCACACUGGGACUGAGACACGGCCCAGACUCCUACGGGAGGCAGCAGUGGGGAAUAUUGGACAAUGGGCGCAAGCCUGAUCCAGCCAUGCCGCGUGAGUGAUGAAGGCCUUAGGGUUGUAAAGCUCUUUUGUCCGGGAAGAUAAUGACUGUACCGGAAGAAUAAGCCCCGGCUAACUUCGUG